Non-coding RNA from Bos taurus (domestic cattle), 73 nucleotides. The record is from Rfam. NCBI's taxonomy places the organism in Eukaryota, Metazoa, Chordata, Mammalia, Artiodactyla, Bovidae.
UCCCUGGUGGUCCAGUGGUUAAGACUCUGAACUCUGAAUUCAUGGGACCCAGGUUCGUUCCCUGGUCAGGGAA